Vicia villosa (hairy vetch) is the source of this 1313-nucleotide RNA transcript. RefSeq lists it as uncharacterized. NCBI's taxonomy places the organism in Eukaryota, Viridiplantae, Streptophyta, Magnoliopsida, Fabales, Fabaceae. The transcript is spliced from 12 exons. The record is from RefSeq and is a predicted model, not a curated record.
AUCGAAAACUGUUUCUCACCCUAAAUCGAAAACGUUCUUCACCCCAAAAUCAAAAAUGUUCUUCACGCUGAAAUCGAGAAUCGUUCUUCACUCCGAAAUCGAGAAUCGUUCUUCACAUUGAAAUCGAGAAUCGUUCUUCACCCUCAAAUUGAAAAUGUUCAAUCGUUCACACCAAUCGUUGACAAAAAUGGUUCUAUCACUGUGAGAUUCCUUUUUCAUCUUUCAUUCACUGUAUAGAGUACGUUGGGGAUUUAGAAUCAAAAACUGAUCUGAGUUUCAUAUCUUCAAGUUCAGGAUGGAGCCACUCUACCAUCAACUGCAAGGACUUUAACUUUUGGCGGUGAGGAUAUAUCAAGGGGCCUUCUUUGGGCGCAAAGGCAUCACCAGACUUAUCCACAAAUUAGAACAGAUAUGUUGACAAAGCCUAUAGAUCUGUUAAUGUUAAAUCAACUGAAAGAGUCAUAUUGCGAAAUCAGAGAGGGGCAACUUGAUGCUAUUGCAGUAGUUCAUUCUUACGAGGAUAAAGCGGCACCUGGAUCUCACAGGACAAGGCUUACUUCUCUCAAUGUUCCUCCCAUGGGGUUGGUCUAUCCAAUGCUUUUUGUUCCUGACGUGUAUCCUCCUCCACCACGGACUUGGUUUAGUGACUACGAGGAUAUGCUAGAAGAUACAUGGCAUAUUGACUUUUCCCGAAGAUUUGACUUGGUUAUAACUGUGAAUGGAAAGAAGGAGAAAAUUGCUUCAGGUUUGCUCAAUCCAUUUCUUUCUCACUUGAAAGCGGCUCAAGAUCAAAUGGACAAGGGUGGUUAUUCAAUUGUUCUUGAGCCGGAUGAUGGAAGUGAUUCCACAUGGUUUACCAAAGGAACUCUUGAAAGGUUUGUACGCUUUGUAAACACUCCUGAGAUAUUGGAACGUGUGUAUACUACAGAAGCUGAAAUCUUACAAAUCGAAGAGGCAAUUGCAAGUCAAGGAAAUAACUCGAUAGGGAUUAGCACUGUGGAAGAAAACCAAGUAAAACAUGCAGAAAACACAAGGCAGGAAGACUCAACAUGAUACGAACGAGGAGAAAGCGAUUGUACUUGAGUUGAUUUGAUAACAGAUGGAUUGUGUCUGGGAAGGAAGAAUAUAAUGGAAAAAUUUAGAUGCAGAUACAUGGAAGUGAACAUAGCAGGACUUUCAAAGUUAUGGAUACAUCAACAUACAAAUAUAAGAAAAGGAUUUUUAUUUUAUUUUAUUUUAUGUGAAAAUUCAAAUAUAGAAAAUAAUAAUAUGGAGUUGGAUAUAUACUAAGAUGUUAAGGAUAUGAUUUAUUU